UGGGGAAUAUUGGACAAUGGGCGAAAGCCUGAUCCAGCCAUGCCGCGUGUGUGAAGAAGGUCUUCGGAUUGUAAAGCACUUUAAGUUGGGAGGAAGGGCAGUAAGCGAAUACCUUGCUGUUUUGACGUUACCGACAGAAUAAGCACCGGCUAACUCUGUGCCAGCAGCCGCGGUAAUACAGAGGGUGCAAGCGUUAAUCGGAAUUACUGGGCGUAAAGCGCGCGUAGGUGGUUCGUUAAGUUGAAUGUGAAAGCCCCGGGCUCAACCUGGGAACUGCAUCCAAAACUGGCGAGCUAGAGGAGGGCAGAGGGUGGUGGAAUUUCCUGUGUAGCGGUGAAAUGCGUAGAUAUAGAAAGGAACACCAGUGGCGAAGGCGACCACCUGGGCUCAUACUGACACUGAGGUGCGAAAGCGUGGGGAGCAAACAGG
This 429-nucleotide ribosomal RNA is filed under the name Pseudomonadota bacterium. RNAcentral describes it as "Proteobacteria bacterium partial 16S ribosomal RNA". It matches the Rfam family "Bacterial small subunit ribosomal RNA", at positions 355 to 776 of the family's 1533-position model. The record is from RNAcentral. Lineage: Bacteria; Pseudomonadati; Pseudomonadota.